GAUGAACGCUGGCGGCGUGCCUAAUACAUGCAAGUCGAGCGAACAGACGAGGAGCUUGCUCCUCUGACGUUAGCGGCGGACGGGUGAGUAACACGUGGAUAACCUACCUAUAAGACUGGGAUAACUUCGGGAAACCGGAGCUAAUACCGGAUAACAUGUUGAACCGCAUGGUUCAACAGUGAAAGACGGUCUUUCUGUCACUUAUCGAUGGAUCCGCGCCGCAUUAGCUAGUUGGUAAGGUAACGGCUUACCAAGGCAACGAUGCGUAGCCGACCUGAGAGGGUGAUCGGCCACACUGGAACUGAGACACGGUCCAGACUCCUACGGGAGGCAGCAGUAGGGAAUCUUCCGCAAUGGGCGAAAGCCUGACGGAGCAACGCCGCGUGAGUGAAGAAGGUCUUCGGAUCGUAAAACUCUGUUAUUAGGGAAGAACAAAUGUGUAAGUAACUAUGCACGUCUUGACGGUACCUGAUCAGAAAGCCACGGCUAACUACGUG
Molecule: ribosomal RNA, 497 nt
Filed under: uncultured bacterium
Lineage: Bacteria
Description: partial 16S ribosomal RNA
Rfam family: Bacterial small subunit ribosomal RNA
Source: RNAcentral